UUCCAGUGUAGGGCUGGGCAAUAUAUCGAUAUUAUAUCUAUACCAUGAUAUGAGACUAGAUACCGUCUUAGAUUUUGGAUAUCGUAAUAUCGUGAUAUGACACAAGUGUUGUCUUGUGUUUUAAAGGCUGCAUUACAGUAAAG
Molecule: long non-coding RNA, 143 nt
Organism: Sander lucioperca (pikeperch)
Lineage: Eukaryota; Metazoa; Chordata; Actinopteri; Perciformes; Percidae
Exons: 3
Source: RefSeq, a predicted model, not a curated record